This is an RNA transcript of Labeo rohita (rohu), 3061 nucleotides long. It is a transcript of the gene named GPI-linked NAD(P)(+)--arginine ADP-ribosyltransferase 1, with no coding region annotated. The record is from RefSeq and is a predicted model, not a curated record. NCBI's taxonomy places the organism in Eukaryota, Metazoa, Chordata, Actinopteri, Cypriniformes, Cyprinidae. The transcript has 7 exons.
UGAUCUUUCCUGGAAUAUUUUUUUUUUUCAGUCAGGUUGUGAACACUCUGCAGUUCGGACCAUUUGCUUUCCCCAUGUUUAAAUCACCGUAAAAAUACCAGGCAUCUUAAGAUGAUUUGUGCACAUAAGCCAGCUAAUACAAUGGGAGGUUUGAGGUUUCCUGCUUUUCUCUUGGUGCUCUUAUACACUACUGUGGUCCAGAUAGAUGGAAAAGUGAUAGAAAUGGGCAUGUUUCCUGAAGUUGCUGAUUACUCAUUCCAGAAAUGUCGGAAGGAAAUACUGCAAAUGGUCACAAAACAGGGAGGUCUGCUCGAGACAGAGCUUAACAACAAUAAUGAUUUUAAAACUAUGUGGCAAAGUAAUGCAACAUGCGAGACAGCCAUUCCAGAGAUUACACAGAAGCACAUGGCUGCACUUCAGAGCUAUGCUGAAGCUAGUCCUAAAUUUCAUGAGAACUUCAAGAAGUUGCUUCAGAAAAGUUACGGCAGUUCAACUUAUCAAGAUGAGUUUCCUUUCAAAUCUUUUUUUUUUCUGCUGACAGAUGCCAUGCAACUCAUAGGCAGAAACGAGUGUAGUACAGUGUACUCUGGCACGGAGGACAUAUAUAUCACCAAAGUUGGGGAAGAACUUGCUUAAAGAAUCUAAAGAAUCAUCUUCAAGUUUCCGGAGUUCCAGUUUACUGAGUCUGAUGGCUUCCUUGCUCAUGCUGUACUUACACACACUGACUCUGUAAAAUACUCUGCAUGUUCUCAAAAACUUGUGUGCAAAAGUAAAAGUUACAUUCAUUUACUUAAUGAAUGUCAUAACUUCUGUGUUCUUGACUUGUAAGGCAGAAAUUUAUCACAACAAUAAAAUUUGUUUUAAUGCAUUUUCACUGUUCUCAUUUUAAUCUAAUCCUUAAGAUCACUUAAACCGUAAAAAAAAAAAAAAAAAAACUAAAAACUAUUGGCCUAUAUAAAUGUGUAAAAUAGGCUUACAUAAUUUUUUAGUAAAACUGAACUGUGGUAUUCUUUGAAAAUUCUCAAGCGUUGCAAAAACAUCCAUAAACUCCUUUUUACGUUUCCAUAAAGUGUAUUGCAGAGACGCUCUAAAAGGUAUGCUUUUACAAGAAGUACCUCAUACCACCAGAGGGCGCCAUUACGAUAGCCCUCACAUCACCUGCAGUAUUUUUUUUUUUUUAUCAUUUCUGUCGUGUUGCAAUUUCAUGUAUAUAUAUUGUGGCCCUUGAAAUAUGAAUAUAUACACACAUACACAAUGUAUACAUAUAUAUUGUUUAUAUACAAUUCCACUAAAAUUAAUUUCAGUUAAAUGUUUCUUGACUUGGUAUCUUGUUUUCUGUCAUUGCCUUCUGUUUUACAUUUAUCAGACCUGUACUCUCAGAAAAAAAUGUACAAAAGGCUCUCUUCUUCGAUUGCAUUGUUCUUUUAACAUAUCUUCAUAAUCAGCAUACUUUCAUUGUUCUAACAAGUAUCUGACUCAUCUCUUUGCCUCAUUUGCCAGGACAGAGAGUUGCACCAUAAGGAGAACUCUAAAGAAAUUUUACGUUAAUUUUAUUAUGUUAAAGUCUAUUAUUUCUAUAAACAUUCUACAAUGUAAAUCAUGUAGUGACUGUCAUUGUAAGCAUUCUACAAUCUAAAAAACAUUUUAAAACAUGCCCUAAAUAUAAAGGAUGUUCAUCUGUUCUACAUAAAGUAAAAUAAGUAUAAGAGGGUUUUAUUCAUGAUUCCAGUAGAACUAAGGCUAAUCAGAGACCUUAUUUUUCAAAAACGUAUGUCCAAAUAUAUAUCUAAUAUAACAUCUAAUAUUACUAUGAUCAAUACCCAUAAUCUAAUCAUGUUAAAUAAAAUUGGAUUUUGGGUUAUGAUAACAGGAAAAUAUGAUAACAGGAAAAUUAGGGUCAAAUAGCACAAAAAUGGCACAAAAAGACAAUUUGUGAACCACUGCCUACAGUAGAUUCUGGUACUAAGUGUAUUGUUAUUUUUAUAGACUAGCAAAUUAUAGAUUGGUUGUUGUUCUGUAUAUUUUUUUACUUGUCUGGUUUUGACUCAAAUAUAAGGAAACCUUUUCAUUUUUCUUCUUUUGAAAAAUGUUCUACUAUGAGAUUCUUCUUAAAUUACUGUGCUCUUUGACUUUGCUCAUUGCUGAUCAGCGUAGCGAUUGAAAAGCAGGAAGGAAAAGGCGGAGUACAGCCCCUGAUCUUUCCUGGAAUAUUUUUUUUUUUCAGUCAGGUUGUGAACACUCUGCAGUUCGGACCAUUUGCUUUCCCCAUGUUUAAAUCACCGUAAAAAUACCAGGCAUCUUAAGAUGAUUUGUGCACAUAAGCCAGCUAAUACAAUGGGAGGUUUGAGGUUUCCUGCUUUUCUCUUGGUGCUCUUAUACACUACUGUGGUCCAGAUAGAUGGAAAAGUGAUAGAAAUGGGCAUGUUUCCUGAAGUUGCUGAUUACUCAUUCCAGAAAUGUCGGAAGGAAAUACUGCAAAUGGUCACAAAACAGGGAGGUCUGCUCGAGACAGAGCUUAACAACAAUAAUGAUUUUAAAACUAUGUGGCAAAGUAAUGCAACAUGCGAGACAGCCAUUCCAGAGAUUACACAGAAGCACAUGGCUGCACUUCAGAGCUAUGCUGAAGCUAGUCCUAAAUUUCAUGAGAACUUCAAGAAGUUGCUUCAGAAAAGUUACGGCAGUUCAACUUAUCAAGAUGAGUUUCCUUUCAAAUCUUUUUUUUUUCUGCUGACAGAUGCCAUGCAACUCAUAGGCAGAAACGAGUGUAGUACAGUGUACUCUGGCACGGAGGACAUAUAUAUCACCAAAGUUGGGGAAGAACUUGCUUAAAGAAUCUAAAGAAUCAUCUUCAAGUUUCCGGAGUUCCAGUUUACUGAGUCUGAUGGCUUCCUUGCUCAUGCUGUACUUACACACACUGACUCUGUAAAAUACUCUGCAUGUUCUCAAAAACUUGUGUGCAAAAGUAAAAGUUACAUUCAUUUACUUAAUGAAUGUCAUAACUUCUGUGUUCUUGACUUGUAAGGCAGAAAUUUAUCACAACAAUAAAAUUUGUUUUAAUGCA